GUGAUCGAUUAACAUCACCCCAAGUUCUUACAUCCUCUUUGGAAAGCACCACAUCAGUAACGGGCUUUCUUGCUAUGGAGGAAAGAUCACUCAAGUGCUUACGUGAGAAAGAGGAAGAUGUGCCAACUUCUGUAGCAAUGGAGAAAAACAGCGAUAAGGAUCCAGCUACUCCCAUAUCAGGAGCAGAUCUGACCGAGAAGGAAUUCUGCCCCAUGAUGGAGGAACACAAAACUGCAUUUCAAAACAUUUUGAAGCAAGACCCGGAGGUGUACCAGGAAAAGAAAAAUAAUGAGCAGAGUGAGGAAGCACCAGCUAUGGUUCCCAGUAGGAAAGGUAAGAGGUUUUUGCGGAACACAUCUGUGUAACUCACUGGAGUGCAUGCCUUGGUCACCAGGGUCAAGAGCUGUG
This 408-nucleotide long non-coding RNA is filed under the name Otus sunia (Oriental scops-owl). Its description in RNAcentral is "lncRNA (ENSOSUG00000002002.1)". Lineage: Eukaryota; Metazoa; Chordata; Aves; Strigiformes; Strigidae. The record is from RNAcentral.